This is a long non-coding RNA of Neoarius graeffei (lesser salmon catfish), 1209 nucleotides long. RefSeq lists it as uncharacterized. The transcript has 3 exons. The record is from RefSeq and is a predicted model, not a curated record. Lineage: Eukaryota; Metazoa; Chordata; Actinopteri; Siluriformes; Ariidae.
UGUGGUUUCUGGCAGCUAGUGUGAGGUGUUCAUUGCAGAAAACUACCAGCCAACAGAAAUUAACCAUCAUACAUGACUUUAUGGCCUUGACCUUCAAUUACAUCAGCUGCACUGUAUGAAAGCUUGACGGCGAUUGGCUGCUCGUCGUGGCAACAUUGGGGCGCCAGAAAGCUUGCUUCUGAUUCUACAGUUCAAAAUGAAGUUUUGCUGACGAGGAGCACGCACGCGGGAGGCAGCACCGGCUUUUGGCAGACAGAGGACAGAAAAUAAAGUGACUUACUUGGCUGGGGUUUAAAUAUAUUCUUCAGAGGACAAAGAAUCGGUUUAUUAGUGAUUACCGGAACGAACUGAUGUGUUAUGAGUAACCUGCAGCGAUGCAGCUGUGUGCCAUACUGACCUAGCUGCGCUAACGCUACACAGAGCAAUGAGGACAAACACCCACUUUGUGCCAGAUAAACAGAUUAUAGUAACCACACAGUGUAGUUUUCACUCAACAGUGCACUUUAAUAGUUUAAAACGCACUUACGAAUAUUGUUUACUACAAGCAGCAGUAGCAGGAACCUGUGGCAAGGGCAGUCAUGAAAGAAAUAGCUCUGUUUAUUAACUUAUUUAUUGGUUUGUCUUGCCACUCUAAAUUACAUAUAGAAUGUGAAACUUUUACUAUUUUGCCUAAUUAUGGAUUGAAUUUCACCUUGGCUCCAGAAGUACCAAAGAAAAGGCGACAGGACCAGCCAACCUUGUCCAGAUUCUUUCCAGGUUUGGCAAGAAAGGUGUCCAGACGAGGAGAGAUUGUGGAUACACAGCUGAGUGAUGGCUUUUAUUAAACAACAGAGAGUAAAAGACCCAUGAAGACAGCAAAACCAUCAAAACUAUAGGACCUGGACAACUAACCAUGCCACUGACGAAUCUCAGGCUGCUAUAGGAAGAUCUUUAGAGGUCAAAUGUCCUGGGAGCUGAGGUUGAUACCAAACAUGCAUUGAGGAAACAAAAAAGAGUUUUCAUGGUAAAAUAUUAUUAUGCAGUUUAUUGUUGCUGAAAACAGCUGAAAAUAUUCUGGCUAUAAAAUUCAUUCUUGUUUUUGGCAGCUUGGGUUCCUUUCCGCUGUCACCUCUGACUUGCUUAACCAAUAAACACCCAUAUUUCUAUGAUGCUGCUAUGUGACAUUUUUAAUCAUCAAAUGUGCUGUACAAAUAAAAUUGAAUUAAUAUA